AAACGGUGGUGUAAGAGACCACCAGGAGGCCGGGUGACCGGCUUCGCUAGGUAAACCUCGUCCGGAGCAAGACCAGACAGAUGCCAUUGACGCUGCUCGCCGAGGCAUCGGGUAGGUUGCUAGAACUCCGCGGUAACGCGGCGUCGAGAAAGAUGACCGUCCACGACAGAACCCGGCGUAUCGGCCGGCCCCUCGU
This 196-nucleotide RNase P RNA is filed under the name Actinomycetota bacterium. RNAcentral describes it as "partial RNase P RNA component class A". It matches the Rfam family "Bacterial RNase P class A", at positions 157 to 367 of the family's 367-position model. Rfam says of the family: Ribonuclease P (RNase P) is a ubiquitous endoribonuclease, found in archaea, bacteria and eukarya as well as chloroplasts and mitochondria. The record is from RNAcentral. Lineage: Bacteria; Bacillati; Actinomycetota.